AUAACUCAAAUUUGUAUGGAGUUGGAACAGCUUCCCUUCGUUAGUCGCUAGGGGCGCUGUUCCAACUCCAUACAAAUUUGAGAUA
Non-coding RNA from Bombyx mori (domestic silkworm), 85 nucleotides. NCBI's taxonomy places the organism in Eukaryota, Metazoa, Arthropoda, Insecta, Lepidoptera, Bombycidae. The record is from Rfam.